GGCGGCGUGCCUCAGACAUGCAAGUCGAACGAGUUUAAAGCUCUACUUCGGAGACGUGUAUAGAGUGCGCACGGGUGAGUAACACGUAAGUAAUCUACCCUCGAGUGGGAAUAACAACCGGAAACGUUGCUAAUACCGCAUAAUGCAGCGGCACCGCAAGGUGACAGUUGUUAAAGAUUUAUCGCUUGAGGAGGAGCUUGCGGCAGAUUUAGCUAGUUGGUAGGGUAACGGCCUACCAAGGCUACGAUCUGUAACCGGUCUAAGAGGACGGUCGGUCACACUGACACUGAAUAACGGGUCAGACUCCUACGGGAGGCAGCAGUCGGGAAUUUUGGGCAAUGGGCGAAAGCCUGACCCAGCAACGCCGCGUGAAGGAUGAAGUAUUUCGGUAUGUAAACUUCGAAAGAAUAGGAAGAAUUAAUGACGGUACUAUUUAUAAGGUCCGGCUAACUACGUG
This 457-nucleotide ribosomal RNA is filed under the name uncultured bacterium. RNAcentral describes it as "bacterial SSU rRNA". It matches the Rfam family "Bacterial small subunit ribosomal RNA", at positions 38 to 507 of the family's 1533-position model. The record is from RNAcentral.